AGCGAACGCUGGCGGCGUGCUUAACACAUGCAAGUCGAGUGCGCGUCUGUAGCAAUACAGAUGGCGCACGGCGCACGGGUGCGUAACACGUGGGCAAUCUGCCCUCGGAUGGGGGAUAACUCGUCGAAAGGCGAGCUAAUACCGCAUGACAUUCCGGAGACCUUGGUCUCUGGAUUCAAAGGCCGCAAGGCCGUCUGAGGAGGAGCCCGCGCCCGAUUAGCUAGUUGGUGAGGUAACGGCUCACCAAGGCUUUGAUCGGUAGCCGGUCUG
This 270-nucleotide ribosomal RNA is filed under the name uncultured bacterium. RNAcentral describes it as "partial 16S ribosomal RNA". It matches the Rfam family "Bacterial small subunit ribosomal RNA", at positions 29 to 294 of the family's 1533-position model. The record is from RNAcentral.